GACGUAGGGCGCGAGCGUUGUCCGGAUUUAUUGGGCGUAAAGAGCUCGUAGGCGGCUCGUUGCGUCGGCUGUGAAAACCCGCAGCUCAACUGUGGGCUUGCAGCCGAUACGGGCGGGCUUGAGUUCGGUAGGGGAGACUGGAAUUCCUGGUGUAGCGGUGAAAUGCGCAGAUAUCAGGAGGAACACCGGUGGCGAAGGCGGGUCUCUGGGCCGUAACUGACGCUGAGACACGAAAGCGUGGGUAGCAAACAGG
RNAcentral lists this ribosomal RNA (253 nucleotides) under uncultured bacterium. Its description in RNAcentral is "partial 16S ribosomal RNA". It matches the Rfam family "Bacterial small subunit ribosomal RNA", at positions 524 to 776 of the family's 1533-position model. The record is from RNAcentral.